Molecule: non-coding RNA, 85 nt
Filed under: Enterocloster lavalensis
Lineage: Bacteria; Bacillati; Bacillota; Clostridia; Lachnospirales; Lachnospiraceae
Source: RNAcentral
ACCACUAUCGAGAGGUAGUGCUGAACGUACAGAAGUCAGCCGAGGUCAUAGUAGUCGAGUACCACAGGGUACUUCGGUGAAGGAC